UGAUGGAGUGUUAUCGUAAUGGUAAUUGAACUUAGUACGAGAGGAACCGUUCAUUCAGAUAAUUGGUUUUUGCGGCUGUCUGACCAGGCAGUGCCGCGACGCUACCAUCUGCCGGAUUAUGGCUGAACGCCUCUAAGUCAGAAUCCGUGCCGGAACGCGGCGAUUUCGCCCCGCACGUCGUAGUUGGAUACGAAUAGGC
Molecule: ribosomal RNA, 199 nt
Filed under: Chaetoceros curvisetus
Lineage: Eukaryota; Bacillariophyta; Thalassiosirophyceae; Chaetocerotales; Chaetocerotaceae
Description: partial Eukaryotic large subunit ribosomal RNA
Rfam family: Eukaryotic large subunit ribosomal RNA
Source: RNAcentral